GGAAGUAAAGUCGUAACAAGGUUUCCGUAGGUGAACCUGCGGAAGGAUCAUUAUUGUAUAGCCGAGGUGCGAGGGCUGUCGCUGACCCGAAAGGUCGUGCACGCCCGAGUGCCCUCACACACAUCCAUCUCACCCCUAUGUGCACCACCGCGUGGGUCCCCCUUUGGCUUGUUCGGAGGGGGGCUUACGUUUUCACACAAACUUUGUAUGCAGUGUAGAAUGUAUUUUUUGUUUUUGCGAUCACGCAAUCAAUACAACUUCCAACAACGGAUCUCUUGGCUCUC
This 284-nucleotide unclassified non-coding RNA is filed under the name plant metagenome. Its description in RNAcentral is "partial contains small subunit ribosomal RNA and internal transcribed spacer 1". The stretch from base 1 to 53 matches the Rfam family "Eukaryotic small subunit ribosomal RNA", at positions 1778 to 1831 of the family's 1831-position model. The record is from RNAcentral.